AUGUUCCUAUCCACUAACUUCAACGCCAACAACGACACUCCGCUUCUCUCCCACGGUGGCGCCGCCAACGUCUCAUUCAUCACUGCGCCGUUUCUCUUCACGGCCUUCGCCGGCGGAAUCUCCCUCGUCGCCGUCGUAUUCUUCUAUGGUGCUACUAG
Molecule: non-coding RNA, 158 nt
Organism: Vicia faba (fava bean)
Lineage: Eukaryota; Viridiplantae; Streptophyta; Magnoliopsida; Fabales; Fabaceae
Source: the annotation of a GenBank genome assembly